This 254-nucleotide ribosomal RNA is filed under the name uncultured bacterium. RNAcentral's name for it is "partial 16S ribosomal RNA". It matches the Rfam family "Bacterial small subunit ribosomal RNA", at positions 524 to 776 of the family's 1533-position model. The record is from RNAcentral.
UACGAAGGGGGCUAGCGUUGCUCGGAAUCACUGGGCGUAAAGCGCACGUAGGCGGCUUCUUAAGUCAGGGGUGAAAUCCUGGAGCUCAACUCCAGAACUGCCUUUGAUACUGAGGAGCUUGAGUCCGGGAGAGGUGAGUGGAACUGCGAGUGUAGAGGUGAAAUUCGUAGAUAUUCGGAGGAACACCAGUGGCGAAGGCGGCUCACUGGUCCGGAACUGACGCUGAGAUGCGAAAGCGUGGGGGAGCAAACAGG